This 263-nucleotide ribosomal RNA is filed under the name uncultured bacterium. Its description in RNAcentral is "partial 16S ribosomal RNA". It matches the Rfam family "Bacterial small subunit ribosomal RNA", at positions 793 to 1055 of the family's 1533-position model. The record is from RNAcentral.
GUCCUAGCCGUAAACGAUGGGCACUAGGUGUAGGGGGUUAUCAACUCCCCCUGUGCCGCAGCUAACGCAUUAAGUGCCCCGCCUGGGGAGUACGGUCGCAAGACUAAAACUCAAAGGAAUUGACGGGGGCCCGCACAAGCGGUGGAGCAUGUGGCUUAAUUCGAUGCAACGCGAAGAACCUUACCCAGGCUUGACAUAAUCUUGAAAGUCGUGGAAACACGGCCCCCCUUGGGGCAGGAUUACAGGUGGUGCAUGGUUGUCGU